UCCCUCCUCCUGCCCUGCCUGUCCCCUGCCCGAGCCCGGCCAGGCCUCCAGCAGGGAACUAUUCCCUGCCCAAACUGUGCUUUUGCCUUCUAACAGGGCUCUGGUCCGUCUUAUUUCCAUCCUCUCCCUGCCCCUGGCAUCUGCAGCUGGAUGGUUGUUGGCACCAAAGGCAGCAGGUGUGCUGGAGGAGGAAAAGGAAGAGGAAAAGAUCUGAUUGCCAUGGAGGAAAUUCCCCAUCCAUGGCAUCAUCCAGUUAAUAGAAUCAUUAGAUCUGCUGGAGGCAAGUUCAUCAAUGUGGGAUGCACAAUGAAUCCACCCUGGGCUCUGUCUCUGAUUCACUACAUGCCAUGAAUCCAGCAGCUCAUCACUGCCUGAAGCUUUCCUGACUUCCCUGGCAUUUGCAGGAAGGUGCAUGGUCACCCUGUGGAAGCAGGUCCUCCUCUGGACUCUUCCUUCCAUCUCCAGCUUUCCAAGAUCUCAUUCCAGGUUCUGUACCUUGAGAAACUGAUGUGUGCCCCGAGGCUACCCUGGCCCUACUGAAUCCCACAGAUCUCCAGGAGAACCAUCCACCUCAUCCCUGGCGAGCAGAUCCAGGUUCCUCCACAGUUUUCCAGCAGGAUUUGCAGUGGGUGGUCACAGACUGGAGAGCUUGGCAGCUUUUUCAGUGGUGCUGUUUGCUGCAGGAACCACAUAUUUUUACCCUUGUGUGGAAUAAUCACAUCCUGAUGAAAUCCAGGAUUUGUGCAGCCAAGCUGACUUUGCAAGUGCCACCACCCUUCGCAGCUGCCCAGACACCAACCCUGGAUUUCCUGCUCCUCUUCCUCAGCUCUUCAAAUCCUCCUUCCUAAACCAAUCCUGAGCCAGAAGAGCACAUCCUGGAGGACAGCUCCCACUCCAUUUUUUCCAUACUGGGCAGCAGCUCCCACACCAGGAUGCCCUUAUCUCUGUACACCCCUGUGCACAGUGUCCUUGGCUGCCCCAGCCUGCCCUGUCUCACCUUGCUGAUGGAUCUGCAGCCCUCCCUCAGGGCACAGGGGAGCCCCAUGGAGCCUUUCCCUUCUCCCAGCACCCUGUCUUGGAGCGUGUGGGAAGCUCAGUGCUCCUGGGAGGUUGGGAUGAGUCAGUGUUUGCACAUCCUGAGUCACUCCAGGGAGUUGCCAGAGAGGAGAGGGGGAUGCCCAGUCUCAUCUGGGGGUGUAAAUAUCCCAGGAAGUUCUGUCUGAAGGAAAAUUCCCAUUGAGAGAUCACCACCUUGUAGGGUUGCUUGGGCCACCACCAUGGACCAGAAGUGUCACUCCAUGAGGAAAAGUUGUUUCCUGCUUCCAUGUGAAUCCUUUCAGAUGGCCCACAGCUGAUUAUUUGGGAGGGGUGCCACAUCCCCAACCCAUGGCUGUCCUUGGAAACUUCCUGGGACAUGCCAAGGGGUUCCUCUGGGCAGCUUCUUCAGAGCAAGUUUGUGGAACCAGGGCACCCAACACGCCCGGGAGGCCAUGGAGGAAUGCCAGGCAAGUUCUCAAAGCAGGGCUUUUGGGAUGUCUUUUGAGUAGAAUGAAUUCCCAGUCCUCCCACUGAUUGCAAUUUUUAUCACUAUUUUUUGGGCUUUUUUGAGCUAGAGAUGCUCCUGAGCUCUUGUGAUGGCUUUGGGAGUGGGUUGGCUCAGGAGUUCACCCCUGGUGCUCAAAGCAGGUUUAAGAUGUAAAAGAAAGAAUGGACACCCUUGCUGACACCCACAGGCACCUUGUUGUCCUCUGUGCCUUGAUGAACCCCCAGAGAACACCACAGGAUACUUCAAAUACACACCCAGGCUUUAGAUUUUUACCUCCAUUUCCACCUUGAAUGGGAUAAAUUCCCAGGUGAAGAAGAGCUGGAAGAACACCCCAGGAUUUUCUGUUCUCAGAGUCCCUGCCUUUAACAUGAGCUAAAUAUUCUGUGCUUGCUCAGAGCAGAGGCUGAGCAGGGAGUGAGGCCAGAAAAACAGGAGGUCAUGUCAGACUUUCUUUUUCUCUCCUCUUAACACUGAAAUAAAAAUACAUCUCAAGCUUGUUUUGGGAUUAACAAGAAAAAAUUCCUCUUGAUGGGAACCAUCUGUGGCCGGGAGAUGCCGGCUGCUCUCUGCUUCCCACCCUCACCCAGACGCUGUCAUUCGGGGUGUGUUCCUCUCCCAAAUAUUAUUCCUCUCAUCCCUGUGCUGGUGGGAGGAAUCCCAACUAUUUAAGGAGGCUUUUCUCCCAGCAUUUCAAAGCAGCAGCAGCUGGUGGCACCUAUGCAGGAUAAUAUUUGCUCUCCUCAUUACAGCCCCAGCGCCCAGCACAGCUUGCUGGUGGCUGCUGGGCUCGGAGGGGAAACACUGCAAGUGGCUUGGCUGUGACCUUUCCACCCCAGACGUCACCUCAGGGUCACAGCAACAUCUCGAGGCCUCUCUGGCCUGUCCCACAAACCAGGAGGGAGAUUCCCUGGCUCUGCCUCUGCUGUGCUGCUGGAAAUGAGCGCGUUGGUGCUGGUCCCUUCAUGGUGGUGAAGAACGAGGACAUUUCUGGGGUGGACCUUGGCCCCAGCUGAGGUUUUGGGUGGGAAAUGCAAUUUCUGGGCUGGGUUGGCAGCAGGAGGAUGAAGAGGUGCAUUUGCAGCAUCAGGAACUCGAGAGGUUUGGAGCAGGGAGGAGCCUCCAAGGCCAGGAAGAGGAGAGGAAGCUCAAGGUGAAUCCAGCAGAAGCCAGGGCAGGUCUGGCCCGGGAGGAAAGGCUGGAAGUGUUGCUCUGCUCUCUCCAUGCAGCUGAGGAGGCUGCCUGGCUGAAACGUCUCCUCCUGGCAGGUUGAGCAGGAAUCUGGGAGCAAGAUGAGCCCAACAGGUUCUGGGCUGUGAAAGCUCCUGGAUGGCACCACAUCCCUAGCCUGGGAUCCAGGAGUGAACUGAAAUGGGCCCAAAUGAGCAUUUUGGGGGCUUUCCCAAACCUGGCUGGAUGAAGGAUCUUUGUGUGGGCCUUGACAUCUUCAGAGUGAUCCAGGCCUGGCUUGGGAGGUGGUUUGGAUUCAUUUGGAGAAAGGAAUACAGGUGCUGUGCUUCACCCAUCAAAAAGCAAUGUACAGAUUAAAUUUGUAGAAAUUUAUAUAAACUGCUGGAACAGCAUCAUGUAGAACAACAUUAUAUUGUAACAGGAAGAAAAUGUGCUGUUUUUUUUCUUUUUUUCAAGUUGUUUUAUUAGAAAUAGAGGGAAAUGGAUUCACAUAACAUUUUUCAGACAGUGAGGUUUUGAACUCUGGGAGUUUAAUUUCAGCAGUGUUUGUGCACACACGCUCCAUCUCAGGCAGGCUGAGCUGAGGCUGGGAUGGGUUUUUCAUCCCCUGUGAUGGGGUCAAACCCCACAUCUCCAUCCAAGAAAAAUUUGGGAUGGAGAGGAUCAGAAAUCUGAUGCUCCCCCUGACCUGGCUGAAUAACAGGGGCUUUGUUCAGGGAUCCAGGACAGGGAUUUUAUUUCAGUACCUGCAAAGAAGCUAUGAGAAGAAUGCAGCAGGUUCCUCCCAGCCUGGAGAAAUGCAGAGAUAUCUCCAGAGGUGUUUAAUAUUAACUGGAGCAGGGCACAUCCCUGAAGGGUUUGAUUGUGAGCCUAUCUGUGUUUGUACCCAAACAUCACCUGCAAAUCCACAGCGUGGCCAGAGCUGGAGCAGGUGAAAGUCCUCCUGGAGGGAGCUGGAUCAAUAAUGGGCUUGUCAAUAAAGAUCAUCCCAUGCUGGCAGCAGGAAUGUGAACCAUGAGCCCAGACCUUCCUGUGCAGGCACAGAACAAAGGCCUCAGCCACGAGGCUCUGAUGAAUGUGUUGGUGAAGAGGA
This is a long non-coding RNA of Passer domesticus (house sparrow), 3827 nucleotides long. RefSeq lists it as uncharacterized. The record is from RefSeq and is a predicted model, not a curated record. Lineage: Eukaryota; Metazoa; Chordata; Aves; Passeriformes; Passeridae. The transcript has 5 exons.